Molecule: non-coding RNA, 148 nt
Filed under: Chlorocebus sabaeus (green monkey)
Lineage: Eukaryota; Metazoa; Chordata; Mammalia; Primates; Cercopithecidae
Source: Rfam by way of RNAcentral
GCUGGGUGUUGUGGCGUGUGCCUGUAAUCCCAGCUACUCAGGAGGCUGAGGCAGGAGAAUCACUUGAACCCAGAAGGUGAAGGUUGCAGUGAGCUGAGAUCACGCCACUGCACUCCAGUCUGGGUGACAGAGUGAGACUCUGUCUCAA